Molecule: ribosomal RNA, 505 nt
Filed under: uncultured bacterium
Lineage: Bacteria
Description: partial 16S ribosomal RNA
Rfam family: Bacterial small subunit ribosomal RNA
Source: RNAcentral
GACGAACGCUGGCGGCGUGCCUAAUACAUGCAAGUAGAACGCACAGUUUAUACCGUAGCUUGCUACACCAUAGACUGUGAGUUGCGAACGGGUGAGUAACGCGUAGGUAACCUGCCUGGUAGCGGGGGAUAACUAUUGGAAACGAUAGCUAAUACCGCAUAAUAUUAAUUAUUGCAUGAUAAUUAAUUGAAAGGUGCAAUUGCACCACUACCAGAUGGACCUGCGUUGUAUUAGCUAGUAGGUGAGGUAACGGCUCACCUAGGCGACGAUACAUAGCCGACCUGAGAGGGUGGUCAGCCGCACUGGGACUGAGACACGGCCCAGACUCCUACGGGAGGCAGCAGUAGGGAAUCUUCGGCAAUGGACGAAAGUCUGACCGAGCAACGCCGCGUGAGUGAAGAAGGUUGUCGGAUCGUAAAGCUCUGUUGUAAGGGAAGAACGGGCGUGAGAGUGGAAAGUUCACACUGUGACGGUAUCUUACCAGAAAGGGACGGCUAACUACGUG